RNAcentral lists this ribosomal RNA (486 nucleotides) under uncultured bacterium. RNAcentral's name for it is "partial 16S ribosomal RNA". It matches the Rfam family "Bacterial small subunit ribosomal RNA", at positions 899 to 1397 of the family's 1533-position model. The record is from RNAcentral.
ACUCAAAUGAAUAGACGGGGACUUGCACAAGCGGUGGAUCAUGCGGCUUAAUUCGAUGGCAAACGAAAAACCUCACCAGGGUUUGAAACACACUUGCAAGCUUUAGGAAACUUUAGCCCUCGCAAGACAAGUGUGCAGGUGAUGCAUGGUCGUCGUCAGUUCGUGGCUUGAGUUGUUCCCUUCAGUGGGGUAACGAACGCAACCCUCGUUGCCUGUUUUCUAUGUCAGGCGAGACUGCCCCCUCACGGGGGAGGAAGGUGAGGAUGACGCCAGAUCAGCAUGUCCCUUUGAUAUCCUGGGCUGCACGCAUGAUACAAUGCACUCGACAACGGGUCGCGACGGGGUAACCCUGAGCCAAUCCUUAUAAACGAGUGCCCAGUUCGGAUUGAGGUCUGCAACUCGACCUCAUGAAGCCGGAAUCGCUAGUAAUCGCAGGUCAGCUAUACUGCGGUGAAUACGUUCUCAAGUCUUGUACACACCGCCCGU